AUGGGCAAGCUACGGAAAGCUUGUAAUUGGGAUGUCCCUGUAGUUUCAUCUUUAGAUAGUGAUGAUUCUGGAGGUGAAGGAUUUGUGCCUAAUGAUUUUGCAGAAGAUGGUUCUUUCCCUGUGUCUAUGGAAUUAUCUGGUGAUGAAGGAGGGCUUGACAAAGCUCUUCUGAAGUUCUAUCUCAACCGAAAAGUAAAAUGCCUCAAGAGGAAAUUAUCAUCUGCUUCAAGGAGGAAUGUGAGGCAGAAACGCUCUAGUGAUUACCCUACUUGUGCUACUUUCACUAGAUAUUCUGGGAAGUUCUUCUCUGGUGUUGUUGAUGGUCUAUGUUCUAGGUAUCGAGAUGUUGUCCAGAGAUAUGGCAUGGGCUGUCUCUUAGAGUUUGUUAGGACUGAGGUGCCCCUUAGGUUAGUGAAGUAG
This 420-nucleotide ribosomal RNA is filed under the name Triticum aestivum (bread wheat). RNAcentral describes it as "partial small subunit ribosomal RNA". The record is from RNAcentral. Lineage: Eukaryota; Viridiplantae; Streptophyta; Magnoliopsida; Poales; Poaceae.